MicroRNA precursor from Gallus gallus (chicken), 105 nucleotides. Ensembl annotates it as gga-mir-146b. Its record names the gene gga-mir-146b. The record is from Ensembl. Lineage: Eukaryota; Metazoa; Chordata; Aves; Galliformes; Phasianidae.
GGACUGGCUGCUUGGCUUUGAGAACUGAAUUCCAUAGGCGUUAAAGCAUCCAAAAAUGCCCUAUGGAUUCAGUUCUGCAGUUGGGCAGCAAAUAAACCUCCAGCC